Molecule: ribosomal RNA, 1711 nt
Filed under: Legionella pneumophila
Lineage: Bacteria; Pseudomonadati; Pseudomonadota; Gammaproteobacteria; Legionellales; Legionellaceae
Description: partial 23S ribosomal RNA
Rfam family: Bacterial large subunit ribosomal RNA
Source: RNAcentral
ACGUGGUAGGGGAGCGUUCUGUAGGCUGAUGAAGGUGCAUUGAGAAGUGUGCUGGAGGUAUCAGAAGUGCGAAUGCUGACAUGAGUAACGAUAAUGUGGGUGAAAAGCCCACACGCCGGAAGUCCCAGGUUUCCUGCACGACGUUAAUCGGAGCAGGGUGAGUCGGCCCCUAAGGCGAGGCUGAAGAGCGUAGUCGAUGGGAACCAGGUUAAUAUUCCUGGACUUUUUAUAAGUGGUGAAGUGGGGACGAAGAAGGCUAGGUGAGCCAGGCGUUGGUUGUCCUGGUACUUGCAUGUAGGGGGGAAGACUUGGCAAAUCCGGUUUUCCAUAACUCUGAGGUGCGAAGUGGUUCUGACCUUUUGGUACAGAGAAGUCAUUGAUGCCCGGCUUCCAGGAAAAGCUGCUAGCCAUAACUUAUAGAGAACCGUACCGCAAACCGACACAGGUGGACAGGUAGAGAAUACUAAGGCGCUUGAGAGAACUCGGGUGAAGGAACUAGGCAAAAUGGUACCGUAACUUCGGGAGAAGGUACGCCCUUUUGGGUGAGGGCAUUUACUGUCUGAGCUUAAGAGGGCCGCAGAGACCAGGUGGCUGCGACUGUUUAUUAAAAACACAGCACUCUGCAAAUUCGUAAGAAGACGUAUAGGGUGUGACGCCUGCCCGGUGCCGGAAGGUUAAUUGAUGGGGUUAUCUUCGGAGAAGCUCUUGAUCGAAGCCCCGGUAAACGGCGGCCGUAACUAUAACGGUCCUAAGGUAGCGAAAUUCCUUGUCGGGUAAGUUCCGACCUGCACGAAUGGCGUAACGAUGGCCACACUGUCUCCACCCGAGACUCAGUGAAAUUGAAAUCGCUGUGAAGAUGCAGUGUACCCGCGGCUAGACGGAAAGACCCCGUGAACCUUUACUAUAGUUUUGCACUGGACUUUGAUGAUGACUGUGUAGGAUAGGUGGGAGGCUGUGAAGUGAGGACGCUAGUUCUCAUGGAGCCGCCCUUGAAAUACCACCCUGUUGUUAUUGAGGUUCUAACUUGGUCCAGUAAUCCUGGAUGAGGACAGUGUAUGAUGGGUAGUUUGACUGGGGCGGUCUCCUCCCAAAGAGUAACGGAGGAGCACAAAGGUACCCUCGGUACGGUCGGACAUCGUACCAAGAGUGUAAAGGCAAAAGGGUGCUUGACUGCGAGAGUGACGGCUCGAGCAGGAACGAAAGUUGGUCUUAGUGAUCCGGUGGUUCUGAAUGGAAGGGCCAUCGCUCAACGGAUAAAAGGUACUCCGGGGAUAACAGGCUGAUACCGCCCAAGAGUUCAUAUCGACGGCGGUGUUUGGCACCUCGAUGUCGGCUCAUCACAUCCUGGGGCUGAAGCAGGUCCCAAGGGUAUGGCUGUUCGCCAUUUAAAGUGGUACGCGAGCUGGGUUUAGAACGUCGUGAGACAGUUCGGUCCCUAUCUGCCGUGGGCGUAGGAAAAUUGAGAGGAGCUGCUCCUAGUACGAGAGGACCGGAGUGGACGAACCUCUGGUGCACCGGUUGUCACGCCAGUGGCAUGGCCGGGUAGCUAAGUUCGGACGGGAUAACCGCUGAAAGCAUCUAAGCGGGAAGCCUCCCUCAAGAUGAGUUUUCCCAUGAAGCCCGUUGAAGACUACGACGUUGAUAGGCAAGGUGUGGAAGCGCAGUAAUGCGUGAAGCUAACUUGUACUAAUUGGCUGAUUGUCUUGACCAU